Molecule: long non-coding RNA, 1201 nt
Filed under: Mus caroli (Ryukyu mouse)
Lineage: Eukaryota; Metazoa; Chordata; Mammalia; Rodentia; Muridae
Description: predicted gene 14798 (MGP_CAROLIEiJ_G0004286.1)
Source: RNAcentral
AGACCUUGACAACCCUUUGCUUGGCCUUGCUCCCUUUUCUCGCCUGUUUCCCUUUCAGGCUUGGUCCCCCUCGACCCCCCGAAUAACUAGGUGCCGUGGGUCAGGAUAAGUGGUGCCCAACAUGGGUCUCAAGGUACAGACCCUCGCAGGACGGAGCCCACCCUCCAGAGAAGGUCUCUGCUAUGAAGAAGCCAUUUGAGGAACACUCUCGAUGCUCAUGAGAGAAAGACGUCUCGGGAUCCCGUUGGCAUCUAUGACUGCUUCAGAGGCACAGUCUGCUACCAACACUUCUUCUGAGACAACAUCAGCAGCCAGAGGAUCUGGGACGAUUUCUGCUUCUACUACACUAUCAUGAACCACAUGUUCAACGUGACCAACAUCAGACACAUGUAUAGAUUCACUUGUCAAGACAUGUUCUGGCAUAGAUAUUGAGGCUGAAGUAAUAUCAGAAGCUAAAACAUCAUCUGGAACUGUGCAAUGUGUUAAAGAAACUUCUUCGGUUACAUCUGAAUCCAGCACUUGUUCAGGGAUGAUGACUGUUUCCGAUACAUCUGCUUCGUCCAUGAUGUCUGUACACUGGACAUCUUCUAUAACAACAUCCUCAAUGACAUCCUGGAUUACAACUGAAUCUGGGUCAUCAGGAACAUAGUUAUGUACGGUUAUGUCGGAAUCCACAACAUCUGACACAUAAACCGUUUCUUGAACUUCCACAACAAUUUGAUUACCAUCCAUGUGUGUAGCACCAGCUCCUAAAAAAUAAACAAACUCCUAAGUGUGGUAGUUUAAAUAAGAACGGCCCUAUAAGCUCAUAUAUUUAAAUGUCUUCGAGCAGAUUAUAAGGAUUAGGAGGUGUAGACUUGUUGGAGGGUGUGUGUCACUAGGUGUGGGCUUUGGGGUUUCAAAAGCUUAUGUCAAGCAGCAGGCCUAGUGUGCAUUUGUGCAUGCAGGUGUGUGUGUCUAUCUCCUCCUCCUAACUCUGCCUGUGGAUCAAAAUGUAAAGGUCUUUGCCUAUGGAUCAAGAUGUAGCUCUUGGCUACUACUUCAGCACCUGCCACCAUGAUGAUGCCAGACUAAACCUCUGUAACUAUCAACAAGUCCCCAAUUUAAAUGCUUUCUCAGUGAGUUGCCUUGUUCAUGAUGUCUCUUUCCAGCAACAAAAUAGUAGCUAAGACAGUAAGUAAAGAAAAUCAUGAAUUUCAGC